RNAcentral lists this ribosomal RNA (1433 nucleotides) under uncultured organism. RNAcentral describes it as "16S ribosomal RNA". It matches the Rfam family "Bacterial small subunit ribosomal RNA". The record is from RNAcentral.
GAUGAACGCUAGCUACAGGCUUAACACAUGCAAGUCGAGGGGCAGCAUUUUAGUUUGCUUGCAAACUGAAGAUGGCGACCGGCGCACGGGUGAGUAACACGUAUCCAACCUGCCGAUAACUCCGGAAUAGCCUUUCGAAAGAAAGAUUAAUACCGGAUAGCAUACGAAUAUCGCAUGAUAUUUUUAUUAAAGAAUUUCGGUUAUCGAUGGGGAUGCGUUCCAUUAGUUUGUUGGCGGGGUAACGGCCCACCAAGACAACGAUGGAUAGGGGUUCUGAGAGGAAGGUCCCCCACAUUGGAACUGAGACACGGUCCAAACUCCUACGGGAGGCAGCAGUGAGGAAUAUUGGUCAAUGGGCGAGAGCCUGAACCAGCCAAGUAGCGUGAAGGAUGAAGGCUCUAUGGGUCGUAAACUUCUUUUAUAUGGGAAUAAAGUUUUCCACGUGUGGAAUUUUGUAUGUACCAUAUGAAUAAGGAUCGGCUAACUCCGUGCCAGCAGCCGCGGUAAUACGGAGGAUCCGAGCGUUAUCCGGAUUUAUUGGGUUUAAAGGGAGCGUAGGUGGAUUGUUAAGUCAGUUGUGAAAGUUUGCGGCUCAACCGUAAAAUUGCAGUUGAAACUGGCAGUCUUGAGUACAGUAGAGGUGGGCGGAAUUCGUGGUGUAGCGGUGAAAUGCUUAGAUAUCACGAAGAACUCCGAUUGCGAAGGCAGCUCACUAGACUGUCACUGACACUGAUGCUCGAAAGUGUGGGUAUCAAACAGGAUUAGAUACCCUGGUAGUCCACACAGUAAACGAUGAAUACUCGCUGUUUGCGAUAUACAGUAAGCGGCCAAGCGAAAGCAUUAAGUAUUCCACCUGGGGAGUACGCCGGCAACGGUGAAACUCAAAGGAAUUGACGGGGGCCCGCACAAGCGGAGGAACAUGUGGUUUAAUUCGAUGAUACGCGAGGAACCUUACCCGGGCUUAAAUUGCAACAGAAUAUAUUGGAAACAGUAUAGCCGUAAGGCUGUUGUGAAGGUGCUGCAUGGUUGUCGUCAGCUCGUGCCGUGAGGUGUCGGCUUAAGUGCCAUAACGAGCGCAACCCUUAUCUUUAGUUACUAACAGGUGAUGCUGAGGACUCUAGAGAGACUGCCGUCGUAAGAUGUGAGGAAGGUGGGGAUGACGUCAAAUCAGCACGGCCCUUACGUCCGGGGCUACACACGUGUUACAAUGGGGGGUACAGAAGGCGGCUACCUGGUGACAGGAUGCUAAUCCCAAAAACCUCUCUCAGUUCGGAUCGAAGUCUGCAACCCGACUUCGUGAAGCUGGAUUCGCUAGUAAUCGCGCAUCAGCCAUGGCGCGGUGAAUACGUUCCCGGGCCUUGUACACACCGCCCGUCAAGCCAUGAAAGCCGGGGGUACCUGAAGUACGUAACCGCAAGGAGCGUCCUAGGGUA